Suricata suricatta (meerkat) is the source of this 1452-nucleotide long non-coding RNA. RefSeq lists it as uncharacterized. The record is from RefSeq and is a predicted model, not a curated record. The transcript is spliced from 3 exons. Lineage: Eukaryota; Metazoa; Chordata; Mammalia; Carnivora; Herpestidae.
UCAUCGUUCAGUUUCACAAAAGUAGGAAUAAAAAACUUCAAUACAGAACAAAAAAGAGCUGCCAAUUUCAACUGAAUUUACUCCGUGCUCACAGAAUGUAUAUAAUGGGCGAAGCGCGAUGGUAGACAAUGUGGGUGAGGGGAGAAAGCUGAACAAAACAGAGCUUACUCUCCGGGUCUCCCAAUCCAGCCAGGAGAACACAUACAUACAAUGGCUUUAAUAGUUUGGGGAGAGUUACAUUUGAAAUAUAAAUAAAGCUUAAUGGGUGAUCCAUUGAGCAAAGGGUGACUGAUCUUAUUGGAAGAACUUCAGGGAAAUGGUGAUCCUUUAUCUGUUUUUUCAAAGAUAAAGAGAACCUUACCAGGUGGGGAAAGGGUGCUCUGAUCUGAAGACACCGUGUGAACAAAGUUACGGAGGCAUGAAGGUGCACAUGGAACCCUUCUAAGAGCCCAGAGUAGAGAUCACCAACUCAGACGCCUGCAGGGUCAUGCAGGUCACUCAAAUGUGUGAGGACUCAGAUAAUCUGCAGACUCUGACAUUUGUGUGAGAACUGCUAAACUAGCUGAGAUUGGUUAAAAUUCAUCUAGCACGAAGACAAGAGGGAUACUUCUUAGAAGAAUUUAUAGGAAUCAAUCUCCAUUUCCACAACUACGUUUUGACAAGACAAAGGCUGAAAAUAUUUGGUGGCACUGAAUUUCCCCAGGGUCACCUCUACAUCCGCCAACUGAGGGCAGGACUCCUGAUCCUUCUCAUUUCUGCAGAAGAGCCACACACAGCAUUUCAGUCUGGUCUGGUCCCUUGAUAGGGAACUGACUUGCCACGGUCACCCUGCUCGCUGUCACACGGUGUCCGGCUUGCAACCCCUACAGCAUCCGCCUGCCUGCUGGACUUCCACCUAUUUCCGUGGCUCAGUUCAAUCAGCAUUCAUCCAGCGCCACAUAAAUACCAUGGAUGUUAGAGGUACAGAGACAAAUGAGGGGGUAUCUGUGCCCUCAGUGUUUCUAAUCUAGUCAGAUUCAGGCACGCAGAAAAAUUACAGGGAACUCCACAUCUUCUUAACCUAAAGGUUUUGUUGUUGUUUGUUUUUAGUAAUGUUUUGCGAGGACUGCUGGAAGAAAUUGCCCCCAGCGUGGGGGACGAUUGAUCCUUUCUAGUCUCCACUAGUUUCUGGUGGCUGCAGGCUUCCGUGGCUUGUGACAGCACCACUCUAGUCUCUGCCUCUGUCUUUAUGUGGCCGUCUCCUUUGUGUCUGGGUCUUUUCCUCUUCUGUGUCAAAUCUUCCUUUGCAUUUGUCUUAUGUAAGGAUGUCGUUGGGUCUACUUAGGGCCCUUCCAGGUGAUCUGGGAGGAUCUUGAGAUCCUCAGGUUGAUUACAUCUGCAACACCCUUUAAAAAAUGAUGUCAUAGGGGUGCCUGGAUAGCUUUGUCAGUUAAGCAUCCGACUUUUGAUUUC